RNAcentral lists this ribosomal RNA (290 nucleotides) under uncultured Lactobacillus sp. Its description in RNAcentral is "partial 16S ribosomal RNA". It matches the Rfam family "Bacterial small subunit ribosomal RNA", at positions 243 to 524 of the family's 1533-position model. Lineage: Bacteria; Bacillati; Bacillota; Bacilli; Lactobacillales; Lactobacillaceae. The record is from RNAcentral.
AGCUAGUUGGUAGGGUAACGGCCUACCAAGGCGAUGAUGCAUAGCCGAGUUGAGAGACUGAUCGGCCACAUUGGGACUGAGACACGGCCCAAACUCCUACGGGAGGCAGCAGUAGGGAAAUCUUCCACAAUGGACGCAAGUCUGAUGGAGCAACGCCGCGUGAGUGAAGAAGGGUUUCGGCUCGUAAAGCUCUGUUGUUGGUGAAGAAGGACAGGGGUAGUAACUGACCUUUGUUUGACGGUAAUCAAUUAGAAAGUCACGGCUAACUACGUGCCACCAGCCGCGGUAAU